RNAcentral lists this ribosomal RNA (1249 nucleotides) under metagenome. RNAcentral's name for it is "bacterial LSU rRNA". It matches the Rfam family "Bacterial large subunit ribosomal RNA", at positions 1634 to 2875 of the family's 2925-position model. The record is from RNAcentral.
CCAUACGACCGUACCGCAAACCGACACUGGUGCGCGAGAUGAGUAUUCUAAGGCGCUUGAGAGAACUCAGGAGAAGGAACUCGGCAAAUUGACACCGUAACUUCGGAAGAAGGUGUGCCCUAUUAGUGUGUAGUGAACAACGAAGCAUGAAUGGGUUGCAAAAAAUCGGUGGCUGCGACUGUUUAUUAAAAACACAGCACUCUGCAAACACGAAAGUGGACGUAUAGGGUGUGACGCCUGCCCGGUGCUGGAAGAUUAAAUGAUGGGGUGCAAGCUCUUGAUUGAAGUCCCAGUAAACGGCGGCCGUAACUAUAACGGUCCUAAGGUAGCGAAAUUCCUUGUCGGGUGAGUUCCGACCUGCACGAAUGGCGUAACGAUGGCCACACUGUCUCCUCCUGAGACUCAGCGAAGUUGAAAUGUUUGUGAUGAUGCAAUCUCCCCGCGGAAAGACGGAAAGACCCCAUGAACCUUUACUGUAGCUUUGUAUUGGACUUUGAACAGAUCUGUGUAGGAUAGGUGGGAGGCUUUGAAGCAGGGUCGCUAGAUCUUGUGGAGCCAACGUUGAAAUACCACCCUGGUGUGUUUGAGGUUCUAACCUAGGUCCAUUAUCUGGAUCGGGGACAGUGCAUGGUAGGCAGUUUGACUGGGGCGGUCUCCUCCCAAAGCGUAACGGAGGAGUUCGAAGGUACGCUAGUUACGGUCGGACAUCGUGACGAUAGUGCAAUGGCAUAAGCGUGCUUAACUGCGAGACUGACAAGUCGAGCAGAUGCGAAAGCAGGACAUAGUGAUCCGGUGGUUCUGUAUGGAAGGGCCAUCGCUCAACGGAUAAAAGGUACUCUGGGGAUAACAGGCUGAUACCGCCCAAGAGUUCAUAUCGACGGCGGUGUUUGGCACCUCGAUGUCGGCUCAUCUCAUCCUGGGGCUGUAGCCGGUCCCAAGGGUAUGGCUGUUCGCCAUUUAAAGAGGUACGUGAGCUGGGUUUAAAACGUCGUGAGACAGUUUGGUCCCUAUCUUCCGUGGGCGCUGCAGAUUUGAGGAAGCCUGCUCCUAGUACGAGAGGACCGGAGUGGACACACCUCUGGUGUAUCGGUUGUCACGCCAGUGGCAGUGCCGAGUAGCUAAGUGUGGAAGAGAUAACCGCUGAAAGCAUCUAAGCGGGAAACUCGUUUCAAGAUGAGAUCUGCCGGGGCCUUGAGCCCCCUAAAGAGUCGUUCAAGACCAGGACGUUGAUAGGUCAGGUGUGGAAGUG